This 540-nucleotide ribosomal RNA is filed under the name uncultured Bacillota bacterium. RNAcentral describes it as "bacterial SSU rRNA". It matches the Rfam family "Bacterial small subunit ribosomal RNA", at positions 350 to 905 of the family's 1533-position model. The record is from RNAcentral. Lineage: Bacteria; Bacillati; Bacillota.
AGCAUGGGGAAUUUUCCGCAAUGGGCGCAAGCCUGACGGAGCAACGCCGCGUGGGUGACGAAGGAUUUCGGUCUGUAAAGCCCUUUCUGUCGGGACGAGUCGCAGACGGUACCGACAGAAGAAGCAUCGGCUAACUACGUGCCAGCAGCCGCGGUAAGACGUAGGAUGCGAGCGUUGUCCGGAAUUAUUGGGCGUAAAGCGUACGUAGGCGGUCAUCUAAGUCUGGGGUUAAAGACCACGGCUCAACCUUGGGAGUGCCCUGGAUACUGGGUGACUGGAGGACGGCAGAGGAAAGUGGAAUUCCCAGUGUAGCGGUGAAAUGCGUAGAUAUUGGGAGGAACACCAGUGGCGAAAGCGACUUUCUGGGCCGUUCCUGACGCUGAGGUACGAAAGCCAGGGGAGCAAACGGGAUUAGAUACCCCGGUAGUCCUGGCCGUAAACGAUGGAUACUAGGUGUCAUCGGUAUCAACCCCGGUGGUGCCGUAGCUAACGCGUUAAGUAUCCCGCCUGGGGAGUACGGUCGCAAGGCUGAAACUCAAU